Molecule: ribosomal RNA, 252 nt
Filed under: uncultured Bacteroidales bacterium
Lineage: Bacteria; Pseudomonadati; Bacteroidota; Bacteroidia; Bacteroidales
Description: partial 16S ribosomal RNA
Rfam family: Bacterial small subunit ribosomal RNA
Source: RNAcentral
UACGGAGGAUGCGAGCGUUAUCCGGAUUUAUUGGGUUUAAAGGGUGCGUAGGCGGGAUGCCAAGUCAGCGGUAAAAAUGCGGUGCUCAACGCCGUCGAGCCGUUGAAACUGCCGUGCUAGAGAGGAAGAGAAGUAGGCGGAAUGCGCAGUGUAGCGGUGAAAUGCUUAGAUAUUGCGCAGAACUCCGAUUGCGAAGGCAGCCUACCGGCUUCUGUCUGACGCUGAGGCACGAAAGCGUGGGUAUCGAACAGG